UGGUGAGGCGACUUGUCUGCUUAAUUGCGUUAACGAACGAGACUUCAACCUGCUAAACUAGGAGCUGAAUUACUAAUUCGGUUUCCUUCUUAGAGGGACAAUGUAUUCUAAGUACAAGGAAGUUUGAGGCAAUAACA
This 137-nucleotide ribosomal RNA is filed under the name uncultured eukaryote. Its description in RNAcentral is "partial 18S ribosomal RNA". It matches the Rfam family "Eukaryotic small subunit ribosomal RNA", at positions 1299 to 1458 of the family's 1831-position model. The record is from RNAcentral.